GGGAAUAUUGCACAAUGGGGGAAACCCUGAUGCAGCGACGCCGCGUGAGUGAAGAAGUAUUUCGGUAUGUAAAGCUCUAUCAGCAGGGAAGAUAAUGACGGUACAUGACUAAGAAGCCCCGGCUAACUACGUGCCAGCAGCCGCGGUAAUACGUAGGGGGCAAGCGUUAUCCGGAUUUACUGGGUGUAAAGGGAGCGUAGGUGGCAGGGCAAGUCAGAUGUGAAAACCCGGGGCUCAACCCCGGGAGUGCAUUUGAAACUGUCCAGCUGGAGUGCAGGAGAGGUAAGCGGAAUUCCUAGUGUAGCGGUGAAAUGCAUAGAUAUUAGGAGGAACACCAGUGGCGAAGGCGGCUCUCUGGUCUGUAACUGACGCUGAGGUUCGAAAGCGUGGGUAGCAAACAGG
Molecule: ribosomal RNA, 402 nt
Filed under: uncultured bacterium
Lineage: Bacteria
Description: bacterial SSU rRNA
Rfam family: Bacterial small subunit ribosomal RNA
Source: RNAcentral